This is a long non-coding RNA of Chinchilla lanigera (long-tailed chinchilla), 884 nucleotides long. RefSeq lists it as uncharacterized. Lineage: Eukaryota; Metazoa; Chordata; Mammalia; Rodentia; Chinchillidae. The record is from RefSeq and is a predicted model, not a curated record. The transcript is spliced from 3 exons.
UCUUGCUAGUCAUGCUACUAAGACCAGCUCUGCCUUAGCAAGUGGGCACUUAAGCUCUCUGGAAAUGACACCUGGCCUUAAGACCAUCACAGGAGUACACAGAUGCCCAGAACUAGUGCUCAACCUUUGGAAGGAUACUAAAAAUGCCUCUUGUAGAAGAUGAAAUUAAGAUGAAAGCCUACUAGUAGCGUGAAGCAUUUUCACACCCUUAUUCAUGAACGCAUAGAGGUGCCAAGAGACAGAUCUUCCUCCUUGGUAACUGUCCAUGGACAGGACAGCUAUGACUGUUAUCUCCACUGCCCCUGCUGUUGAAGUGACAGGGAAGGAAGAGGGGGAGCAGGUGAAGGGCAGCAGGGGAGCUGGGCCAGGUGUAAGAGCCUCAUGGAGAGACUGGACCCUGCAGGCUGCACAUCCUCUGGAGCCCCUGCCUGUCUCCCCUGCAUUUCUCGUUCCUCUAAGGUGCCUGACCAGCUGCAGUGGGCAGACUGGCAGACUUCAACUUCUUUUCUCUUCAAUCUGCAGGCAGAAGACAAUAUUUUCAGUAUGGCAUCCAUGUGGGAGCUCUAACUGGAGGUCACCAAGUGUGACCCCUUUUCUUCACUUUGAAGAAACUUUAUACCCUGGGUCUAUAAACCUAAAAGCUGGGGGCACAAAUAACAUCGCCCCUUCUUCUCUCCCAGCUCAAUCUGGCUCCCCCACUGCCACCACCUCAAGAAGGAAUCCUUGUGACUUUUGUAUCCGCUUACAAAUCUGCUUCCUAGGCCAAUGGACAUGCCACUCAACACUGCUACUCUUAAAUGUGCUCAUCUGUAAUGUGAUGAUAAUAAUGUUUACCUAGUGAUAUAAUCUUGAAGAUUAAAUGAGAUAACAUAUAAAAACUCUUA